Potamilus streckersoni is the source of this 75-nucleotide non-coding RNA. Lineage: Eukaryota; Metazoa; Mollusca; Bivalvia; Unionida; Unionidae. The record is from the annotation of a GenBank genome assembly.
GACCUUCGGUGGCCUAGUGGUUAGAGCGUCCGCCUCCAAUGUGGAAGUUCGUGGGUUCUAUACCUGACCGAGUCA